This 1813-nucleotide long non-coding RNA is filed under the name Marmota monax (woodchuck). The record is from RNAcentral. Lineage: Eukaryota; Metazoa; Chordata; Mammalia; Rodentia; Sciuridae.
CAUGAAUAACUGGAUACUUCUUUUAAGUUCCAGGAAAGCAAGACAACAGUAAGCCCACAUGAGGAGGGCUGCCAUUUGGGUGGUCAUCAAAGACAGGGCUGCUCUAGAAAGUUUAUAGAAAAAGGAUAUGCGGUAUUUUCAACGACUACCCAAAGAGCUGAUGUGAAGGACCUGCACUGCCAAGAGCCUCAAACUCCUUUCUAAAGCACACACCCUCAGGGCUCUGCCCAUCUCCUGGCUCUUCAGUGUGGGGACCCUACUCCUGCUCUGUGAAGCAAGUUCCUGGGUGAAGAGCCAACCAAUGGAACAGCAGGAAAGCCACUCUGUGAGUAUCCAGAGGGCUAUCAGAAGCCCAGGGAGCCCUCAGAUCUCCAGGGCCUUGAGCCCUGGAGGAGGGAAAGCUCUUCCCCUACAGCUGCUGUAGGCAGGACUUUCGCUCUGGUUAUCUUUGGAAUCGUUGGCUCAUGACUCCUGGUCAAGUGUGACAGCAGCUUCCCCAGAAAAGAAGUCUAGCUAACCCCCAGUCUGCCUACAGACAGAAGCCCUUCAGAACCCUGAAUGUGACAAAAGCUGUCUGAGGAGUGCCAAUGUGGACCCUGGGGAGAGAGCCAUUCCCCCACUGAGGGUGGCAAGGACUUCACUGAGGAGUCAAAACUUAGGACCCGCAUGCAUCUGCACAGUGGGGUGGAGCUGUUCACAUGCUCUGAGUGCAAGAGGAACUCCUUACUUGUUCAGUCACCAGCAUGGGCACAGAGGGAAAAGACCUUUCCCAUGUCCAGAAUGUGGCCACUUUGCUUCCAGGCUUCCUCCACACCUACACAGUGAAGAGAGUGUUCUCCUGCAGUGACUGUGAGAAAAACCCCUGAAAUCUCAGCCUGUCACCCACCUCCCUCUGUACACAGGUUCCCAGAACAUCAUAAGAGUUUACUGCAAGCUGACAUCAAAGUCCAUGUAUCCAUAUCCCCAAGAGGUCUUUUUCUUACCCACAGUCUGAGCUCCCUGAGCCCCUCAGAGUGCACAGUGAAGUGAGGCCUUCCAGUGCCUAAGAGUAAAGAAGGAAGCUUUCCCAGCCUGAAGGAGGACCCACUUGUCCACCAGGGUCUACACAGAGGGCAGAGACCCUUAUAAUGUCCCAGUGUGGCCAGGCACACCACUCAAGCUACCAUGUUGUUUUCUCCCACUGCUCUCUGUUCUUUACAGAGAGUCCUCCUGGUCACUGUUGUGGUUUUACUCUUUUUUCGUGGGUGGGGCGGGGUGAUGUACCAGGGAUUGAACUCAGGGGCAGUUGGCCACUGAGCCACAUUCCCAGCCGUAUUUAUUUAGAGACAGGGUCUCACUGAAUUGCUUAGCACCUCACUUUUUCUGAUACUGGUUUUGAACUUGUGAUCCUCCUGCCUCAGCCUCCCAAGCCUUUGGGAUUACAGGUGUGUUUCACCGUGCCCAGCUUGGUUUUACUCUUACUAGGCUUUUUGUAACUAGUUUUGACUGACCCAUACCUUGGCAUUUGAAGUGUAUACUGGAUUUUGGCAAUAAUGUUAUGCAUGGUUGAUGUCAGUAAUAAUCUGGAGAUCAAAUUAAACCUUCCCUGAAACUCAGGGAGCAGACUCUUGAUUACUGUAAGGAAAAGCCCAUGAUUUACUUAAUACUAAAAUGAUGGUCCCUAAAAUCUCUUUGUUCCCCAAAGUUUCAUAUUCCUCCUCCUAAUUCAGCACAUUUUCCAUGAGUUAUUUUGCUAACAACAUUCCACUGGCAAUUCAUACAAUGCUGGCUGCAAAUUCAGCUACUGGCUACAUAUUUCUCCAGAGCUCCAAAC